RNAcentral lists this ribosomal RNA (273 nucleotides) under uncultured bacterium. RNAcentral describes it as "partial 16S ribosomal RNA". It matches the Rfam family "Bacterial small subunit ribosomal RNA", at positions 524 to 797 of the family's 1533-position model. The record is from RNAcentral.
UACGAAGGGGGCUAGCGUUGCUCGGAAUCACUGGGCGUAAAGCGCACGUAGGCGGACUCUUAAGUCGGUGGUGAAAGUCCUGGAGCUCAACUCCAGAACUGCCUCCGAUACUGCGAGUCUCCGAGUCCGGGAGAGGUGAGUGGAACUGCGAGUGUAGAGGUGAAAUUCGUAGAUAUUCGCAAGAACACCAGUGGCGAAGGCGGCUCACUGGCCCGGUACUGACGCUGGAGGUGCGAAAGCGUGGGGAGCGAACAGGAUAGAACCCAGUAACCG